Molecule: ribosomal RNA, 231 nt
Filed under: uncultured bacterium
Lineage: Bacteria
Description: partial 16S ribosomal RNA
Rfam family: Bacterial small subunit ribosomal RNA
Source: RNAcentral
AACGAACGCUGGCGGCGUGCUUAACACAUGCAAGUCGAGCGGUAAGGCCCUUUCGGGGGUACACGAGCGGCGAACGGGUGAGUAACACGUGGGUGACCUGCCCUCAGCUCUGGGAUAAGCCUGGGAAACCGGGUCUAAUACUGGAUAUGACUCCAUGACGCAUGUUGUGGGGUGGAAAGCCUUGUGCGGCUGAGGAUGGGCCCGCGGCCUAUCAGCUUGUUGGUGGGGUGA